This is a non-coding RNA of Ciona intestinalis (vase tunicate), 974 nucleotides long. Lineage: Eukaryota; Metazoa; Chordata; Ascidiacea; Phlebobranchia; Cionidae. The record is from RefSeq and is a predicted model, not a curated record.
ACUUUAAUACAUUUAAAUUGUUUUUAAUUGUUUAAAACGCGGCAAGGAUGUGCUAAAGGUGCUCCGUCUUCCCCAACCCUACUAUAUUAUUUAUUUUACGCGGGUGAGAUUGAAGAGUUAUGUAAAUAUUUAUGUUUGAAUAAUAUAUUACACUCUUGGUUUAUUCACGCGUUGGUAAAUAAGGUAUGUAUUGAUAUUAGGAGUGUAUGUAUAUCUGGAACUGGGUACAUACCACUAGAUAUAUGUAUGUAUGUUAUUUAUUUAAAAUACACAAACAAAUUUGGAACAUAAGUUUAAAAUAUAUUCCACUUAAGAGUUAAUUUUUACUACCGCAUGGUGCUGCUACAGAGACCAGGUCUGUCGCGACUCAAAAUCGACUAUCGCCACAGCUGACUCAACACGUGACACAAUAACCGUACUGUGACGUAACAACGCAGGCAACAUAAGGUCACGCGAGUGUUUCAACAUUGCGCGCAAACAACAUCGGUUUGUGGGCGGAGUUUUUCUUUUGUCUUUUCUUCCAUUCUCUCGGGAGGGCGGGAGUGCUUUGAAUUGUCGCGCGCCUUUUUCUCGCCUCUCUUGUUUUCGCGCGCGAGAGAGGCCGAUAUUUGAAUUGAAAAGCAGCGCCAAAAUAAGCGCGUAUUUGUUUGCGCGGCUGGCUAUUUCGAAAUGUUGUUCAACUUUGGCGCUCGGACAAUUUUGCGCAACUUUUAACGGUCCAGAAAAAUGACCGCGCACUGCCUGUUUCAUGGGAAAUCGCUUUUCCGCAAUCUAUUUUAAUACUUAUCUUAUUGUAAUACAAUGUAACAGUGCCUAUGUAAUAAUAAAGUUCCACCAUUAAUACUAAUAUAGUUAAGUUCAAUUAAACACCUUACUACACAAACCAGCAGUCAAUUUUGAGCUACCAAUUAGUAAAUAUUGACACCACAGAAUUACCCAUUACCACACCGAUAUAUAAAACACAACAUUCAACA